RNAcentral lists this ribosomal RNA (231 nucleotides) under Enterococcus faecium. RNAcentral describes it as "partial 16S ribosomal RNA". It matches the Rfam family "Bacterial small subunit ribosomal RNA", at positions 1231 to 1460 of the family's 1533-position model. The record is from RNAcentral. Lineage: Bacteria; Bacillati; Bacillota; Bacilli; Lactobacillales; Enterococcaceae.
UGGGAAGUACAACGAGUUGCGAAGUCGCGAGGCUAAGCUAAUCUCUUAAAGCUUCUCUCAGUUCGGAUUGCAGGCUGCAACUCGCCUGCAUGAAGCCGGAAUCGCUAGUAAUCGCGGAUCAGCACGCCGCGGUGAAUACGUUCCCGGGCCUUGUACACACCGCCCGUCACACCACGAGAGUUUGUAACACCCGAAGUCGGUGAGGUAACCUUUUUGGAGCCAGCCGCCUAA